UAUAAACUAAAGCAAACGUGCGUCUUUGUGGGGCUCCAAGCCUGUGCACUGGCCGCCUGCGUGCACUCCAGUAAGUGUGGAUAACACCCCCGCAGGGGCUGCCAGCAAGAAGCCUACGUUAACAUUUAUCUCGUGGUGAGGAAGGUGGAGGCCACACCCACACCUCCGCGAGCUGGGGAGAGAGCUUUCGUGGGGAAAUGAAUAUGGGGCACGGAAACACAUUGUCCCGCAUGGAGUCCCCAGAGGCAGUGCAUUUUAAACUCUGAAGUGUGGAUUAUUCUGUGAAUGUCUCAGUGGAGUUGAUAUUCCGCUUUAAGAAGCUGGAUGAGUGUGUGGGUGUGCGUAAGGCUAUGUGGGAGUAGGCACAGAAUCUUAGUGUUCGGGUGUCCCUAGGGUAGGCUGUCCUCCUCUCGCCAGAUUAGGAGGGACUCCUCUAGCUCCCCAAAAUUGCUCUCCGUAAUUAGCCUGCCUCGGUUCGUAAGGGGUUAACUAAAGCCGAUUUCGAAUACACCCCCCCCCCCACCACCACCAUCACAGUCACCCCCACCCACACCCUGGCUUCCGACCCUGGCCAAGCUCCCAAAUCUCCCCCGGGGACCCCCCACCCAGCAGCCCACCCACACCAACGCACGGCUCCUCACCUGCGGGGCCCUGCCGCGUCAGGCCUCCGGAGCGGGCUGCGAGUGUCUGUCCGACCUCCGCACGUGUCCACAGCGGCGCCAAGCAGGUAAUACUUGAAUCUCCGCUGCACACAUGGCCUAACAAUUGUGUUGGCAUAACUGCCUUUGGUUGAGCUGAAAGUUUACUUAUUUUGAGAGAGAGAAAGCACAAGCAGCAGAGGGGCACAGAGG
This is a long non-coding RNA of Herpailurus yagouaroundi (jaguarundi), 851 nucleotides long. RefSeq lists it as uncharacterized. The transcript is spliced from 3 exons. NCBI's taxonomy places the organism in Eukaryota, Metazoa, Chordata, Mammalia, Carnivora, Felidae. The record is from RefSeq and is a predicted model, not a curated record.